Molecule: long non-coding RNA, 824 nt
Organism: Zingiber officinale
Lineage: Eukaryota; Viridiplantae; Streptophyta; Magnoliopsida; Zingiberales; Zingiberaceae
Exons: 3
Source: RefSeq, a predicted model, not a curated record
ACACAACGUAACCCCUGUUGGUCCUCUGUUCUGGGGUCUGGUAUCUCCGGCGCUACAUGGCUGCUUCGGCCGGGCUCCGGCGGCGGUGCCUCGCCAUGGUGAAGCAUCAAAAGACCCGCUUGUACAUCCUGCGCCGUUGCGUGUUGAUGCUCCUUUGCUGGCAUGAGCAUAGUCUCUCCGAUUGACCGAAAGGUAGCUCGAUCGACCGACCGACCGAUCAACCAACCGGGGGCAAGAUCUAUCGGAUACCAAGGAGACAGUGUAAUGGCAAUCUUAAGCGACCAAAUAGGAGAAGAUAAUUUGUCUCCGGUGUUAAAGCUCAAGUUAUUAGUGUAAAUAAUUAGCUAAAUUGGAGUCUGAUGCAGAGUUUUAUUGGAGAUCAUUUUCGGAAUGUGUAAAUAAAGUAGUUUUGUUUUCCAAAUCGGAAUGAGAUUAUAUUUAACUAGUUGUUCAUUUAGUUUACCAAGGAACCUUCGAAGGUUUAUGGCUGGAUUAAUUGAACUGCAAAAAUGCACCGAUAUAAGGGGGCCGGGCUUUCUUUGUUUCUGAGUAGUUGACUCUAUUCCCUAAAAGCAAAAGCUAUUAAAUGCGCCCACUGUCGCUAUUCCUCUCAAACAAUUGUUCAUCCUAAGAAGCGGUGGUCUAUCCUGAUGGUGAUGAGGUUCCAUAUGAAGUUGAUAUCCUGAUGAUCACAAGGAGCAAGACCCUGGUCCAAUUCCAGUCUGGUGGUGAUUCGGAGAGCUUCUAGACUUCGAAGCUGCACAGAGCUUGGACAUGGCCCGAGUACUCCCUCGGCACCGCCACCUCGUGCCAUGUCCUGGUCC